AGCCCCGUACACAAAAAUGCACAUGCUGUGAGCUCGAUGAGUAGGGCGGGACACGUGGUAUCCUGUCUGAAUAUGGGGGGACCAUCCUCCAAGGCUAAAUACUCCUGACUGACCGAUAGUGAACCAGUACCGUGAGGGAAAGGCGAAAAGAACCCCGGCGAGGGGAGUGAAAAAGAACCUGAAACCGUGUACGUACAAGCAGUGGGAGCACGCUUAGGCGUGUGACUGCGUACCUUUUGUAUAAUGGGUCAGCGACUUAUAUUCUGUAGCAAGGUUAACCGAAUAGGGGAGCCGAAGGGAAACCGAGUCUUAACUGGGCGUUAAGUUGCAGGGUAUAGACCCGAAACCCGGUGAUCUAGCCAUGGGCAGGUUGAAGGUUGGGUAACACUAACUGGAGGACCGAACCGACUAAUGUUGAAAAAUUAGCGGAUGACUUGUGGCUGGGGGUGAAAGGCCAAUCAAACCGGGAGAUAGCUGGUUCUCCCCGAAAGCUAUUUAGGUAGCGCCUCGUGAAUUCAUCUCCGGGGGUAGAGCACUGUUUCGGCAAGGGGGUCAUCCCGACUUACCAACCCGAUGCAAACUGCGAAUACCGGAGAAUGUUAUCACGGGAGACACACGGCGGGUGCUAACGUCCGUCGUGAAGAGGGAAACAACCCAGACCGCCAGCUAAGGUCCCAAAGUCAUGGUUAAGUGGGAAACGAUGUGGGAAGGCCCAGACAGCCAGGAUGUUGGCUUAGAAGCAGCCAUCAUUUAAAGAAAGCGUAAUAGCUCACUGGUCGAGUCGGCCUGCGCGGAAGAUGUAACGGGGCUAAACCAUGCACCGAAGCUGCGGCAGCGACACUGUGUGUUGUUGGGUAGGGGAGCGUUCUGUAAGCCUGUGAAGGUGUGCUGUGAGGCAUGCUGGAGGUAUCAGAAGUGCGAAUGCUGACAUAAGUAACGAUAAAGCGGGUGAAAAGCCCGCUCGCCGGAAGACCAAGGGUUCCUGUCCAACGUUAAUCGGGGCAGGGUGAGUCGACCCCUAAGGCGAGGCCGAAAGGCGUAGUCGAUGGGAAACAGGUUAAUAUUCCUGUACUUGGUGUUACUGCGAAGGGGGGACGGAGAAGGCUAUGUUGGCCGGGCGACGGUUGUCCCGGUUUAAGCGUGUAGGCUGGUUUUCCAGGCAAAUCCGGAAAAUCAAGGCUGAGGCGUGAUGACGAGGCACUACGGUGCUGAAGCAACAAAUGCCCUGCUUCCAGGAAAAGCCUCUAAGCAUCAGGUAACAUCAAAUCGUACCCCAAACCGACACAGGUGGUCAGGUAGAGAAUACCAAGGCGCUUGAGAGAACUCGGGUGAAGGAACUAGGCAAAAUGGUGCCGUAACUUCGGGAGAAGGCACGCUGAUAUGUAGGUGAAGUCCCUCGCGGAUGGAGCUGAAAUCAGUCGAAGAUACCAGCUGGCUGCAACUGUUUAUUAAAAACACAGCACUGUGCAAACACGAAAGUGGACGUAUACGGUGUGACGCCUGCCCGGUGCCGGAAGGUUAAUUGAUGGGGUUAGCCGCAAGGCGAAGCUCUUGAUCGAAGCCCCGGUAAACGGCGGCCGUAACUAUAACGGUCCUAAGGUAGCGAAAUUCCUUGUCGGGUAAGUUCCGACCUGCACGAAUGGCGUAAUGAUGGCCAGGCUGUCUCCACCCGAGACUCAGUGAAAUUGAACUCGCUGUGAAGAUGCAGUGUACCCGCGGCAAGACGGAAAGACCCCGUGAACCUUUACUAUAGCUUGACACUGAACAUUGAGCCUUGAUGUGUAGGAUAGGUGGGAGGCUUUGAAGUGUGGACGCCAGUCUGCAUGGAGCCGACCUUGAAAUACCACCCUU
This 1851-nucleotide ribosomal RNA is filed under the name Escherichia coli. Its description in RNAcentral is "partial 23S ribosomal RNA". It matches the Rfam family "Bacterial large subunit ribosomal RNA", at positions 369 to 2207 of the family's 2925-position model. Lineage: Bacteria; Pseudomonadati; Pseudomonadota; Gammaproteobacteria; Enterobacterales; Enterobacteriaceae. The record is from RNAcentral.